Molecule: ribosomal RNA, 276 nt
Filed under: uncultured Glomeromycotina
Lineage: Eukaryota; Fungi; Glomeromycota
Description: partial small subunit ribosomal RNA
Rfam family: Eukaryotic small subunit ribosomal RNA
Source: RNAcentral
AGCAGCCGCGGGGAACCAGGACCUUUACUUUGAAAAAUUAGAGUGUUUAAAGCAGGCAUUUUGCUUGAAUACAUUAGCAUGGAAUAAUAAAAUAGGACGGCAUGGUUCUAUUUUGUUGUUUCUAGGACCACCGUAAUGAUUAAUAGGGAUAGUUGGGGGCAUUAGUAUUCAAUUGUCGAGGUGAAAUUCUUGGAUUUAUUGAAGACUAACUACUGCGAAAGCAUUUGCCAAGGAUGUUUCAUUAAUCAAGAACGAAAGUUAGGGGAUCGAAGACGA